AGCUGCGCAGUGCUGUAGCGGCGUGAGGAGGACAUUA
This 37-nucleotide ribosomal RNA is filed under the name Trametes polyzona. RNAcentral's name for it is "partial 18S ribosomal RNA". Lineage: Eukaryota; Fungi; Basidiomycota; Agaricomycetes; Polyporales; Polyporaceae. The record is from RNAcentral.